CCUACGGGGGGCUGCAGUAACGAAUCUUCCGCAAUGCACGAAAGUGUGACGGAGCGACGCCGCGUGGAGGACGAAGUUCUUCGGAAUGUAAACUCCUGUCAGGGGUAAGAAAGUUCUGAUCUACCCCAGAGGAAGGCACGGCUAACUCUGUGCCAGCAGCCGCGGUAAGACAGAGGUGCCGAGCGUUAGGCGGAAUCACUGGGCUUAAAGCGUGUGUAGGCGGGCGGGCAAGUACCUUGUGAAAUCCCACGGCUCAACCGUGGAACGGCUGGGUAUACUGCCUGUCUUGAGCCAACUAGGGGCGAGCGGAACAGACGGUGGAGCGGUGAAAUGCGUAGAUAUCGUCUGGAACGCCGAAGGUGAAAACAGCUCGCUGGGGUUGUGCUGACGCUGAGACACGAAAGCCAGGGGAGCGAACGGGAUUAGAUACCCUUGUAGUC
RNAcentral lists this ribosomal RNA (440 nucleotides) under uncultured bacterium. Its description in RNAcentral is "bacterial SSU rRNA". It matches the Rfam family "Bacterial small subunit ribosomal RNA", at positions 338 to 795 of the family's 1533-position model. The record is from RNAcentral.